This 465-nucleotide ribosomal RNA is filed under the name Vreelandella stevensii. Its description in RNAcentral is "partial 16S ribosomal RNA". It matches the Rfam family "Bacterial small subunit ribosomal RNA", at positions 338 to 795 of the family's 1533-position model. Lineage: Bacteria; Pseudomonadati; Pseudomonadota; Gammaproteobacteria; Oceanospirillales; Halomonadaceae. The record is from RNAcentral.
CCUACGGGUGGCAGCAGUGGGGAAUAUUGGACAAUGGGCGAAAGCCUGAUCCAGCCAUGCCGCGUGUGUGAAGAAGGCCUUCGGGUUGUAAAGCACUUUCAGUGGGGAAGAAAGCCUUGGGGCUAAUACCCUCGAGGAAGGACAUCACCCACAGAAGAAGCACCGGCUAACUCCGUGCCAGCAGCCGCGGUAAUACGGAGGGUGCGAGCGUUAAUCGGAAUUACUGGGCGUAAAGCGCGCGUAGGCGGUCUGAUAAGCCGGUUGUGAAAGCCCCGGGCUCAACCUGGGAACGGCAUCCGGAACUGUCAGGCUAGAGUGCAGGAGAGGAAGGUAGAAUUCCCGGUGUAGCGGUGAAAUGCGUAGAGAUCGGGAGGAAUACCAGAGGCGAAGGCGGCCUUCUGGACUGACACUGACGCUGAGGUGCGAAAGCGUGGGUAGCAAACAGGAUUAGAUACCCGUGUAGUC